RNAcentral lists this unclassified non-coding RNA (360 nucleotides) under uncultured fungus. Its description in RNAcentral is "partial contains small subunit ribosomal RNA, internal transcribed spacer 1, and 5.8S ribosomal RNA". The stretch from base 1 to 73 matches the Rfam family "Eukaryotic small subunit ribosomal RNA", at positions 1759 to 1831 of the family's 1831-position model. Lineage: Eukaryota; Fungi. The record is from RNAcentral.
ACAAACUUGGUCAUUUAGAGGAAGUAAAAGUCGUAACAAGGUUUCCGUAGGUGAACCUGCGGAAGGAUCAUUAUUGAAUAAAACUUGGUUGGGUUGUUGCUGGCUUCUCGGAGCAUGUGCACGCUCACACCAUUUUUAUAACCACCUGUGCACCUUGUGUAGGUCUGAACAACUCUCGAGGAAACUCGGUUCGAGAAAUGCUGCCCGUAAAAAGUCAGCUUUUCUUGCGUUCAGAUCUAUGUCUUUAUAUACUCCAUCAGAAUGUAUUGGAAUGUAAUUGAUAGGCGUUUACUGCCUUUAAAAUCAAAUACAACUUUCAACAACGGAUCUCUUGGCUCUCGCAUCGAUGAAGAACGCAGC